RNAcentral lists this long non-coding RNA (300 nucleotides) under Ictidomys tridecemlineatus (thirteen-lined ground squirrel). RNAcentral's name for it is "lncRNA (ENSSTOG00000029827.1)". The record is from RNAcentral. Lineage: Eukaryota; Metazoa; Chordata; Mammalia; Rodentia; Sciuridae.
UCAAUAUCUUAGGAUCUUGAAUACUUAGAGAGAAACCCAUCAGGAAGAUGCAGCAGCCAUGAGGAUCAGUCAUCACACAGCUACUGGUUUUGGCUCACACCUUAAUCCACAACUCUUAUUUGGCAAGAUCUCCACCCAACUAUUUUAUCUUUUAUUCUCCCCUAUAUCCUUCUAAAGGGUAGGUACCUGUUUGUCUUGUUUAUCACCAUAUCUCUGGCACCCAAUCACUGGCAUAACUGUAAGUGGUCAUACACAUCUGUGGAACAAAACAAAUGAGGUAGAACACACAGGUCCUAAACC